Non-coding RNA from Styela clava, 1264 nucleotides. Lineage: Eukaryota; Metazoa; Chordata; Ascidiacea; Stolidobranchia; Styelidae. The record is from RefSeq and is a predicted model, not a curated record.
GCGAAUGCGUGCAAUCUGACAGCGAAGGAAUGAAAGCAUUCAAGAAAAACACCCGUAAUGCAAAGAUCGACAGCUUGCAUCUGAGUCGGAACAACGUCAGGAAACUCGGAGAUGAAGGAUUAUCUACAAUCAGUGAAAUUGUUCAUCAAUGUCAGGUUGAAAAAUUGCUGAUGUGGUAUUGCUACUUCAACGAUGAUCGGUUGGAGAGAUUCAAAGCAUUGGUUGCUGAUACUGGGGUUAAAUUUCUUCGCUAGUCACAGACGCCGUAUCCAAGGAUGAUUUUAUUGGAUAAUUUGAUUUAAAAUUAUAUUAGUUCCACAUUUCUUCAGUUUGUCUGUCUGAGAUAAUCACUUUCCGUUUUGUUUCAAAAUUUUCGAGCAAUUUGUUUUUAAAUAUUUUUUUCAAUCCUGUCUAUAAUGUUUAGCAAGUAUGGUCCGUGUAUCGCAUUAUGUCUUAUGAAAAUUUCUUUUGAUUUUCAUUUAUUUCAUCAAAUAUUUCAGUCAGGGAUUCCGAAUAAUUAACUAGUUGCAUACAAUAAACAAUGGAAUAACUGCAACUCUACAACCUGGCUAUUUGACCAGACAUUUUAUGCCCACGGAUUGCCGUGUUAGACUUUUAAUGCUUUUAUAUUUUCGUGAGUAUGAAAAUACGAAUCAAAAAUUAAUUAUCAAGCAUUUUACCACACUUUUUAUGUCAACAGAUGGCCGUGAAAUUUUAGAGUAGUAGGCUGGCUAAUGCUUUUAUUUUUAACCAUGAGUUAUGUUGAACAGAGCUAAAUCAAUACGGCAAGGCAUUUUAAUGCUGGUAUCGGUCAUAGAUUUGAAUAUUUUGCUCAACAGAAAACCAUCCUAAUAAAAAGUUGAUACUUUAAAAUAUUUGCCAAAAAGCGGAAAAAGUAUGAAUUAUAUUUUCAAUAAAUCAACUUGUUUUUUCCGACUUGCGACAGACAAUUCAUUGGGUAUCGUAACAAUUGCAGCUUUACAUAAUUUUUAAAUUUUCGACGUAAUGCAAAUGAAUGUGUACCCAAACACUGUUGCUGAAGAGGCAACAAAGCAAAAAUAAUAAAAUACCAUUGAGCGCAAAACAUGGAGUAGCAACCGAAUGCUGGCUGUACGCUUGACAUAAAUGAUAUUCCCCAAUAAAUUUUCCAAUGCCAAUAAAAAUACUUUAAUAGAUGGAACCAUUUUUGAACAAAGAUGUAACAUCUCUUCCUCGAGGCUGGUUUCAAGCCGAUUUGGCCGCUUUUAUCAAAUUGGGCCCCGCA